Molecule: ribosomal RNA, 251 nt
Filed under: uncultured prokaryote
Description: partial 16S rRNA
Rfam family: Bacterial small subunit ribosomal RNA
Source: RNAcentral
ACGGAGGGUGCAAGCGUUGUUCGGAAUUACUGGGCGUAAAGCGCGCGUAGGCGGCUCUUUAAGUCAUUUGUGAAAGUCCACGGCUCAACUGUGGAAGUGCAUGUGAAACUGGAGAGCUUGAGUACUGGAGGGGGUGGUGGAAUUCCCGGUGUAGAGGUGUAAUUCGUAGAUAUCGGGAGGAAUACCGGUGGCGAAGGCGACCACCUGGCCAGAUACUGACGCUGAGGUGCGAAAGCGUGGGGAGCAAACAG